Molecule: long non-coding RNA, 1160 nt
Organism: Ornithodoros turicata
Lineage: Eukaryota; Metazoa; Arthropoda; Arachnida; Ixodida; Argasidae
Exons: 12
Source: RefSeq, a predicted model, not a curated record
CAAGAUGGUGGUAAGUUUUGAUGGUUUUUACCUUAAAGUUAGGUUUCUUAUGAAAGUUGUCUUUCUCAGUCUUCUCGAGUUUUGAAGAUGAUGAUGAUAGUGUAUUCACAUCGAGCCCUGUGUUUUACUUCGAAGAUGCGCCUGAGUCGCCACCACCAAGCUAUGAAUCAGUUUUUGUGGUAGUGAAUGAAAAUAAUCACAGGGUACCACCACCAGAAAACGAUCACAGGGUUCCACCACCAGACAAUACUCACUGGAUACCACCACCUGACAACUACCCUGGCCCCCCUAUGCAGUGUAUGUAUUAGUGAACAUUCUCUUUCAGGAUAUAGUGUUCCAAUGACAUAUCAUUUUAUGUAGAUGAUAUUAAUAGUUGUUGUAUUUGUUUUUUUUUGUUUUUUUUUGUUUGUUUGUUUUUGUUUUUUUUUUUUUUUCAGAUUACCCCGGCCCCCCUAUGCAUCGUAUGUAUAAGUGAAUGUUCUCUUUCAGGAUAUAGAGUUCCAGUGGCAUAUCAUUUUUAUGUAGCCGAUAUUAAUAGUUGUUGUAUUUGUUUUCAGGUUACCCUGGCCCCCCUAUGCAUCAUAUAUAUAAGUGAAUGUUCUCUUUCAGGAUAUAGAGUUCCUGUGGCAUAUGGUUUUUAUGUAGCCGAUAUUAAUAGUUGUUGUAUUUGUUUUCAGGUUACCCUGGCCCCCCUAUGCAUCGUAUAUAUAAGUGAAUGUUCUCUUUCAGGAUAUAGAGUUCCUGUGGCAUAUGGUUUUUAUGUAGCCGAUAUUAAUAGUUGUUGUAUUUGUUUUCAGGUUACCCUGGCCCCCCUAUGCAUCGUAUAUAUAAGUGAAUGUUCUCUUUCAGGAGUUCCUGUGGCAUAUGGUUUUUAUGUAGCCGAUAUUAAUAGUUGUUGUAUUUGUUUUCAGAUUACCCUGGCCCCCCUAUGCAGUACUACCCUGGCCACCCUAUGCAGUAUUACCCUGGCCCUCCUAUGCAGCAUCAUUGCUGCUACUGUUGCAGUGAGUCAUCUGGUUGGGUGUGAAGGUUUUUCCGCUUGGGUUUUCUCCAUCACGCAGAUUGGCAACACAAUUGACAAUUCCCAGCACCAUUGGCUUUAAUUGGCAUUACUAAGCAUCAUUGGCUUUAAUUGACAUUAAUAAAAUAUUUUUCACUUG